GGUCUUGACAUACCAUUGACAGGCGCAGAGAUGUGCUCUCCUUCGGGCAAUGGAUACAGGUGGUGCAUGGUUGUCGUCAGCUCGUGCCGUGAGGUGUUGGGUUAAGUCCCGCAACGAGCGCAACCCUCAUUGUUAGUUAUUACCAUUCAGUUGAGGACUCUAAUGAGACUGCCAACGAUAAGUUGGAGGAAGGUGGGGGAUGACGUCAAAUCAUCAUGCCCUUUAUGACCUGGGCUACAAACGUACUACAAUGGCCAAUACAAAGAGAUGCGAAGCGGUGACGUGGAGCGAACCUCAGAAAGUUGGUCUCAGUUCAGAUUGAAGUCUGCAACUCGACUUCAUGAAGGCGGAAUCGCUAGUAAUCGCGGGUCAGCAGACCGCGGUGAAUACGUUCCCGGGUUUU
Molecule: ribosomal RNA, 403 nt
Filed under: uncultured Mollicutes bacterium
Lineage: Bacteria; Bacillati; Mycoplasmatota; Mollicutes
Description: bacterial SSU rRNA
Rfam family: Bacterial small subunit ribosomal RNA
Source: RNAcentral